This 1542-nucleotide ribosomal RNA is filed under the name Escherichia coli. RNAcentral describes it as "bacterial SSU rRNA". It matches the Rfam family "Bacterial small subunit ribosomal RNA". The record is from RNAcentral. Lineage: Bacteria; Pseudomonadati; Pseudomonadota; Gammaproteobacteria; Enterobacterales; Enterobacteriaceae.
AAAUUGAAGAGUUUGAUCAUGGCUCAGAUUGAACGCUGGCGGCAGGCCUAACACAUGCAAGUCGAACGGUAACAGGAAACAGCUUGCUGUUUCGCUGACGAGUGGCGGACGGGUGAGUAAUGUCUGGGAAACUGCCUGAUGGAGGGGGAUAACUACUGGAAACGGUAGCUAAUACCGCAUAACGUCGCAAGACCAAAGAGGGGGACCCUCGGGCCUCUUGCCAUCGGAUGUGCCCAGAUGGGAUUAGCUUGUUGGUGGGGUAACGGCUCACCAAGGCGACGAUCCCUAGCUGGUCUGAGAGGAUGACCAGCCACACUGGAACUGAGACACGGUCCAGACUCCUACGGAGGCAGCAGUGGGGAAUAUUGCACAAUGGGCGCAAGCCUGAUGCAGCCAUGCCGCGUGUAUGAAGAAGGCCUUCGGGUUGUAAAGUACUUUCAGCGGGGAGGAAGGGAGUAAAGUUAAUACCUUUGCUCAUUGACGUUACCCGCAGAAGAAGCACCGGCUAACUCCGUGCCAGCAGCCGCGGUAAUACGGAGGGUGCAAGCGUUAAUCGGAAUUACUGGGCGUAAAGCGCACGCAGGCGGUUUGUUAAGUCAGAUGUGAAAUCCCCGGGCUCAACCGAACUGCAUCUGAUACUGGCAAGCUUGAGUCUCGUAGAGGGGGUAGAAUUCCGGUGUAGCGGUGAAAUGCGUAGAGAUCUGGAGGAAUACCGGUGGCGAAGGCGGCCCCGGACGAAGACUGACGCUCAGGUGCGAAAGCGUGGGGAGCAAACAGGAUUAGAUACCACGGUAGUCCACGCCGUAAACGAUGUCGACUUGGAGGUUGUGCCCUUGAGGCGUGGCUUCCGGAGCUAACGCGUUAAGUCGACCGCACGGGAGUACGGCCGCAAGGUUAAAACUCAAAUGAAUUGACGGGGCCCGCACAAGCGGUGGAGCAUGUGGUUUAAUUCGAUGCAACGCGAAGAACCUUACGGUCUUGACAUCCACGGAAGUUUUCAGAGAUGAGAAUGUGCCUUCGGGAACCGUGAGACAGGUGCUGCAUGGCUGUCGUCAGCUCGUGUUGUGAAAUGUUGGGUUAAGUCCCGCAACGAGCGCAACCCUUAUCCUUUGUUGCCAGCGGUCCGGCCGGGAACUCAAAGGAGACUGCCAGUGAUAAACUGGAGGAAGGUGGGGAUGACGUCAAGUCAUCAUGGCCCUUACGACCAGGGCUACACACGUGCUACAAUGGCGCAUACAAAGAGAAGCGACCUCGCGAGAGCAAGCGGACCUCAUAAAGUGCGUCGUAGUCCGGAUUGGAGUCUGCAACUCGACUCCAUGAAGUCGGAAUCGCUAGUAAUCGUGGAUCAGAAUGCCACGGUGAAUACGUUCCCGGGCCUUGUACACACCGCCCGUCACACCAUGGGAGUGGGUUGCAAAAGAAGUAGGUAGCUUAACCUUCGGGAGGGCGCUUACCACUUUGUGAUUCAUGACUGGGGUGAAGUCGUAACAAGGUAACCGUAGGGGAACCUGCGGUUGGAUCACCUCCUUACCUUAAAGAAGC